CCCUUAGAUGUCCUGGGCUGCACGCGCGCUACACUGAUGUGUCCAGUAAGCACCUAACCUCUUCCGAAAGGAACGGGUAACCUUUGCAAAGCACGUCGUGAUGGGGAUAGAUUAUUGCAAUUAUUAGUCUUGAACGAGGAAUUCCUAGUAAGCACAAGUCAUCAGCUUGUGUUGAUUACGUCCCUGCCCUUUGUACACACCGCCCGUCGCUCCUACCGAUUGAAUGUUCCGGUGAGCUCUUCGGACUGCGCGGUCUGCGGUUUCUGCGUUCCGUGCGGAAAGUUGCGCAAACCUUAACAUUUAGAGGAAGGAGAAGUCGUAACA
This 324-nucleotide ribosomal RNA is filed under the name uncultured eukaryote. Its description in RNAcentral is "partial 18S ribosomal RNA". It matches the Rfam family "Eukaryotic small subunit ribosomal RNA", at positions 1470 to 1796 of the family's 1831-position model. The record is from RNAcentral.